GACUGGAGCUUGGAGCGGUGAGC
This 23-nucleotide microRNA is filed under the name Mus musculus (house mouse). RNAcentral's name for it is "mmu-miR-3081-5p". Lineage: Eukaryota; Metazoa; Chordata; Mammalia; Rodentia; Muridae. The record is from miRBase by way of RNAcentral.